Molecule: ribosomal RNA, 258 nt
Filed under: uncultured bacterium
Lineage: Bacteria
Description: partial small subunit ribosomal RNA
Rfam family: Bacterial small subunit ribosomal RNA
Source: RNAcentral
AGGACGAACGCUGGCGGCGUGCUUAACACAUGCAAGUCGAACGAGGCCCUGCCUUCGGGCAGGUGACCUAGUGGCGAACGGGUGAGUAACACGUGGGCAACCUACCCUCAGCUCUGGGAUAACCCCGGGAAACCGGAGCUAAUACCGGAUACGACCUGGAACGACAUCGUUCCUGGUGGAAAGUUUUUCGGCUGAGGAUGGGCCCGCGGCCUAUCAGCUUGUUGGUGGGGUAAUGGCCUACCAAGGCGACGACGGGUA